ACAACAACAUACCAACCCGCGCAUAUGCCAGGGGGAACGCAUCAACCCGCCGAUCAACGAAGAGAUCACGAUCAGGACACACACACACGCACGAACCGCGGGGAUGAUGAUGAUGAUGAUGAUGAUGGUAAUUAGUGUUAGUGAUGAUGAUGAUGACGAACGAUGAACGACGAUGAGGAGAUCGUCCGGGAACACACAACCACAAAACACCACACCGCAGAAAAACAAUUAUCAAGAUGGUUUUCGGGAGGUUUGGGUUUUGCAAAAUGAUAACACACAGGUCGCGCGCGCACAGAACCGGAAAUGAAAGGGUACCGAAAGGAAAGAGAAGAAGAAAAAAGGAAAUGAUACCAAACGGUGUCGAUGAAAUGAAGGCGCUCUCGCUCUACCCUAACCGACACACUACAGUAGAGCUGUUUGUUCAAGAACUAUAUCUCUCAUGGGGUUUUUUAUACCGACUGCUAAAUUAUGUCCUAGAGCAAAAAAAACAUCUAAAACAUUCCACAUUUGCAACAGAACCAUCUUCAACAAUGAUUCUCUCCGACUUUAAAACAUA
Anopheles stephensi (Asian malaria mosquito) is the source of this 556-nucleotide long non-coding RNA. RefSeq lists it as uncharacterized. The transcript is spliced from 2 exons. NCBI's taxonomy places the organism in Eukaryota, Metazoa, Arthropoda, Insecta, Diptera, Culicidae. The record is from RefSeq and is a predicted model, not a curated record.